UGUGUGGGCUCCCAGGUUUAUGAGAAUAACAGGUUAACUCGAUAGUAUUCAGGGACCCUGUUUUCUCAGUUGAGACAGGUAAAACCUGAGUGAAGUAAAUUGAGGUAAGGUUUAUAAUCUGUGUAGAAAAGCUACUUGGGAAAGGAAUAAAUGUAUUUUUAGUGGCAGCCAUGAGAGAACAGCUCCCUCCUAGGACUCAUGACUGGUCACGGCAGAGAAGGCAGGCACAGCAAGACAGAGGUUACAAGGACUUUGCUUUUUAAAAUCGAAAACAUGGAGCGAAUGAAGCAACUGGAGGUCCAUCUGUGCAGGAGGAGGGUUGACUAAAAGGUAAUUUUUAAAUUUGUCUACUUUAACCAUGGCUAAACAUUUACUGCCCUGCUUAAAGGGAUUUAGGAAACUGCUACUUUGUAGCUGAUUAUCUUAGUUUAGAAAGUUCCAAGAGAAUCAGCAGACACCCUGGUAGACAAGAGUCAAGCAUAGUAACACACUCCUGUGAUCCUACUGAUCAAAACUAAGGCAGGAAGAUUGCAAGUUUAAGGCCAGCCUGGGCCAUAGAAUGGUACAGUUUGACACAGCCCCAAGGCUGGUGUUGAUCUUUGGUACCAGCUGGUAGUGCUAUUUUGCAAAACUGUAGAGACUUCAGGUGGGACUGGAUCUGGAAGUAGGCCUCUGAAGCCAAGACUUUGCAGAUCUUGUCCAGGGCCCCUUUCUUGGGAGCAGGCCCUUGCAGAGGCUCCCUGCAAGCACAUGGGACCUAAAGACUAUUUAUGGACCCUUUGAAAACGUGAACCAAAAAAACAAUUCUCAGGCCACGCUUGGUGGUACAUGCUUUUAAUUGCAGCAAGCAGAUCUCUAUGAAUUGCAAGCCAGCCUAUUCGCCAUAGCAAGUUCAAGGCCAGUCACGGCAACAGAGAGAGACCCUGUGCUGAGAGAGAAAAACAACAGCAAACAUAGUUCUUCCCUCAUUUUGAUCAGAACAAUGAGAAAAGCAAUCACAGGUAGCAAAACCAUCUCAACAAACCUAAUAAAUGUGUCAACAGAAGUAUUACAGCUGAGGGUGUCACAGCUCUACCAUGAGCUACAAAGUGGCUCAGCCAAUGAAUGACUUCCGAGCCUUAAGGAAUUUUUGGAGUCUUGUUGACCUCCAGAGCUCAGGGAACUUAUUGCAGGUCAGCAGUGUUGCCAUUUGGGGGCUCUACCCAACUCCUGCGGUUUACUGAUGCCUCAGACAUUGAGGCAGGAUAUUUAGUGUGUCCUUGCCCACCCGUCAGCUCGACAUUGUUGGCUUGAAAGCUUGUCUGGUUUUUAACCUUGUCAUGAUUUGAGUGUCUCCUUGCUUAAAGUGAAACUCUCCAAGUAGAAUGGUAAAUAAGUGGUUUCAAAAUAUCUUUACAAUUCAUUUGACCUUCCUAAUACAUUUUUCAUAUAUUGUCUGCGCUUCUUGGCUGAUAGGAAGCAAUUCAUAUUCCUUGUAGCUGAAUAAUAAAAAAAAAAUGUUUUGUCGCUG
RNAcentral lists this long non-coding RNA (1510 nucleotides) under Mus musculus (house mouse). RNAcentral's name for it is "long non-coding RNA chr7:49859752-49861262". The record is from RNAcentral. Lineage: Eukaryota; Metazoa; Chordata; Mammalia; Rodentia; Muridae.